UGGGUGUGGAGAGAGCAGAGUGCCUGAAGAAUGGCUUCUCUGUGUACAACACACCCAACAGAACAACACAC
This 71-nucleotide small nucleolar RNA is filed under the name Myotis davidii. RNAcentral's name for it is "Small nucleolar RNA SNORA11". It matches the Rfam family "Small nucleolar RNA SNORA11". Rfam says of the family: U107 (SNORA11) is a member of the H/ACA class of snoRNAs that guide the sites of modification of uridines to pseudouridines. The record is from Rfam by way of RNAcentral. Lineage: Eukaryota; Metazoa; Chordata; Mammalia; Chiroptera; Vespertilionidae.